UAAUACAUGCAAGUCGAGCGAAGUUUUCUGGUGCUUGCACUAGAAAAACUUAGACGGCGAACGGUGAGUAACACGUAAAGAACCUGCCUCAUAGACUGGACAACUAUUGGAAACGAUAGCUAAUACCGGAUAACAGUAUUUCUCGCAUGAGAGAUAUUUAAAAGUUGGUUAUGCUAACACUAUGAGAUGGCUUUGCGGUGCAUUAGCUAGUUGGUGGGGUAAAGGGCCUACCAAGGCGACGAUGCAUAGCCGACCUGAGAGGGUGAUCGGCCACACUGGGACUGAGACACGGCCCAGACUCCUACGGGAGGCAGCAGUAGGGAAUCUUCCGCAAUGGGCGAAAGCCUGACGGAGCAACGCCGCGUGAGUGAAAGAAGGAUUUCGGUUCGUAAAGCUCUGUUGUUAGGGAAGAAUGGAUAUGUAGUAACUAUACAUAUAAGAGACGGUACCUAACCAGAAAGCCACGGCUAACUACGUGCCAGCCGCUGC
RNAcentral lists this ribosomal RNA (489 nucleotides) under uncultured bacterium. RNAcentral describes it as "bacterial SSU rRNA". It matches the Rfam family "Bacterial small subunit ribosomal RNA", at positions 49 to 518 of the family's 1533-position model. The record is from RNAcentral.